UUUCCGUAGGUGAACCUGCGGAAGAAUCAUUAACGAGUUAGGGUCUUUUAGGCCCGACCUCCCAACCCUAUGUUUAUUGAACCUCUGUUGCUUCGGCGGACCCGUCUCACGGCCGCCGGAGGACCGCUGCGAGGCGUCCUCUGGCCAGCGUCCGCCGAUGGCCAACCCACUAAACUCUGAAUGAAUCGUGUCAUAUGUCUAAGUCUAUGAUUAAAUUAAAGCAAAACUUUCAACAACGGAUCUCUUGGUUCUG
Molecule: unclassified non-coding RNA, 253 nt
Filed under: plant metagenome
Description: partial contains small subunit ribosomal RNA, internal transcribed spacer 1, and 5.8S ribosomal RNA
Source: RNAcentral